ACAAGAGGCUGGCAAGCGAUAAAUGCCUUCGUAUCAUCGUGUGAGGAGAGACUGCGGGAGCUGGGCCUGACGAGAUCUCAUGUAAACCAGGCAGGUGAGAUGUUACCGAAAUGGAAUCAUUUCCCACCAGAAAUCAUAUAAAUCUGUGCUCUGCCAUGUCUUCAAAUCCAUGGAAUUUGGAUCUAUGAAUUGCUGUAGUUUGUACUGUUGGGUGGAUGAAUGUGCAAAUCACCAGAAUUAAGUGGAUUUACCUGAUAUGUUUAACUGUUUCUAUACACUGCAAAAAUAUUGUUUAUAACUAAAAAUUUAGCUAAAAUACCUGUGAAUACUUGAAGAUCUGGUAUAGAUAAUUAAUAAAAGAAAUUUUAACGGUU
This is a non-coding RNA of Sturnus vulgaris (Common starling), 374 nucleotides long. NCBI's taxonomy places the organism in Eukaryota, Metazoa, Chordata, Aves, Passeriformes, Sturnidae. The record is from RefSeq and is a predicted model, not a curated record.